Long non-coding RNA from Nicotiana tabacum (common tobacco), 812 nucleotides. RefSeq lists it as uncharacterized. Lineage: Eukaryota; Viridiplantae; Streptophyta; Magnoliopsida; Solanales; Solanaceae. The record is from RefSeq and is a predicted model, not a curated record.
GAAUAUUGCCGAGAAUAAGUACUUUUUACCGGCAAUUAAAAAAACUUGCCACUAAAACUUACUUCUUUUACAAAAACUCUAACAAUUCCAAGAGCGGGGGGACCUUUUUUCACAAUCCCUCCAAAUUAUUUUCAUUUCCCUCCUUAAUAUUAAUUAACUAUUUUUUAAAUAUAUUUUAUUCAUCAAUAUCCUAGAGGACUGACAAAUGAAAAUCAACAGAAACCCUAACACUUAAAAUUCAUCUCUAUUUACUGCUGGAUCGGUUACUCUGGUAUUUAUCAUUAACUUCAUCUUAUUUUUCUUUUGAUUACUACUCGAGAAAGAUUCAUUAUAUUUUUAAUAAAUUAAUGAAGAAAAUCAAAAGAGUUUGAGGCUCUGUUGUUGCAUAGCUGUUGCACUUCUUCUUUUACAUCGUCACUCGAGGAAUCGAUGGGUAUGCUAUUUUUCUGAAAUUGAAGGAACCAAAAGUUGCGCCUCUGAGCUCAAGGUAGUGCACUACACAAGGCAUAUAACCCAGGAGACUAGUGGCGAGGUAGUAUAUGGCAUGAGAAGGCAAACAACUAUUCUUUGAACGCUUGACUAGAGAUAUUAAGCAGUUGUUCAGAUAUCAGGCAUGUGGAAAAUUUCAUCAUGAUCAAGAGUUGGAGAAACUUUCAUGGCACCAUUUAUAUAUAGUAUUAUAGCUAUUUGAUAAUGUCAGUUAUUAGAUGCCAAAUUACGCUAGUUAUUAGAUUCAAAUAUGUUACCUUUUUGGUUAUGUUGUUGAUACUUUAAAAUUAUGAAAGAGUAGAUUUUGAUGUGUAUUUAAUUAA